UAUUAGGUUGGUGCAAAAGUAAUUGCAGUUCUUGCUGUUACUUUCGGUGGCAAAACUGCAGUUACUUUUGCACAAACCUAAUA
RNAcentral lists this microRNA precursor (83 nucleotides) under Nomascus leucogenys (northern white-cheeked gibbon). RNAcentral's name for it is "miRNA (ENSNLEG00000032230.1)". Lineage: Eukaryota; Metazoa; Chordata; Mammalia; Primates; Hylobatidae. The record is from RNAcentral.